CCUUCGGGUUGUAAAGCACUUUUGUCCGGAAAGAAAUCCUUGGCUCUAAUACAGUCGGGGGAUGACGGUACCGGAAGAAUAAGCACCGGCUAACUACGUGCCAGCAGCCGCGGUAAUACGUAGGGUGCAAGCGUUAAUCGGAAUUACUGGGCGUAAAGCGUGCGCAGGCGGUUUGCUAAGACCGAUGUGAAAUCCCCGGGCUCAACCUGGGAACUGCAUUGGUGACUGGCAGGCUAGAGUAUGGCAGAGGGGGGUAGAAUUCCACGUGUAGCAGUGAAAUGCGUAGAGAUGUGGAGGAAUACCGAUGGCGAAGGCAGCCCCCUGGGCCAAUACUGACGCUCAUGCACGAAAGCGUGGGGAGCAAACAGGAUUAGAUACCCUGGUAGUCCACGCCCUAAACGAUGUCAACUAGUUGUUGGGGAUUCAUUUCCUUAGUAACGUAGCUAACGCGUGAAGUUGACCGCCUGGGGAGUACGGUCGCAAGAUUAAAACUCAA
This 496-nucleotide ribosomal RNA is filed under the name Burkholderia sp. N15. Its description in RNAcentral is "bacterial SSU rRNA". It matches the Rfam family "Bacterial small subunit ribosomal RNA", at positions 415 to 904 of the family's 1533-position model. Lineage: Bacteria; Pseudomonadati; Pseudomonadota; Betaproteobacteria; Burkholderiales; Burkholderiaceae. The record is from RNAcentral.